GAUGAACGCUGGCGGCGUGCCUAAUACAUGCAAGUCGAGCGAACAGACGAGGAGCUUGCUCCUCUGACGUUAGCGGCGGACGGGUGAGUAACACGUGGAUAACCUACCUAUAAGACUGGGAUAACUGCGGGAAUCCGGAGCUAAUACCGGAUAAUAUAUUGAACCGUAUGGUUCAAUAGUGAAAGACGGCUUUGCUUUCACUUAUUGAUGGAUCCUCGCCUCAUUAGCUAGUUGGUAAGGUAACGGCUUACCAAGGCAACGAUGCGUAGCCGACCUGAGAGGGUGAUCGGCCACACUGGAACUGAGACACGGUCCAGACUCCUACGGGAGGCAGCAGUAGGGAAUCUUGCGCAAUGGGCGAAAGCCUGACGGAGCAACGCCGCGUGAGUGAUGAAGGUCUUCGGAUCGUAAAACUCUGUUAGUAGGGAAGAACAAAUGUGUAAGUAACUAUGCAAGUAUUGACGGUACCUAAUCAGAAAGCGACGGCUAACUACGUG
This 497-nucleotide ribosomal RNA is filed under the name uncultured bacterium. RNAcentral describes it as "partial 16S ribosomal RNA". It matches the Rfam family "Bacterial small subunit ribosomal RNA", at positions 28 to 507 of the family's 1533-position model. The record is from RNAcentral.